AAGGUAGCGAAAUUCCUUGUCGGGUAAGUUCCGACCUGCACGAAUGGCGUAACGAUGGCGGCGCUGUCUCCACCCGAGACUCAGUGAAAUUGAAAUCGCUGUGAAGAUGCAGUGUAUCCGCGGCUAGACGGAAAGACCCCGUGAACCUUUACUAUAGCUUUGCACUGGACUUUGAAUUUGCUUGUGUAGGAUAGGUGGGAGGCUUUGAAGCGUGGACGCCAGUCUGCGUGGAGCCAUCCUUGAAAUACCACCCUGGCAACUUUGAGGUUCUAACUCAGGUCCGU
This 284-nucleotide ribosomal RNA is filed under the name Mesorhizobium sp. Its description in RNAcentral is "partial 23S ribosomal RNA". It matches the Rfam family "Bacterial large subunit ribosomal RNA", at positions 1953 to 2236 of the family's 2925-position model. The record is from RNAcentral. Lineage: Bacteria; Pseudomonadati; Pseudomonadota; Alphaproteobacteria; Hyphomicrobiales; Phyllobacteriaceae.